This 1450-nucleotide ribosomal RNA is filed under the name Staphylococcus sp. W-2. RNAcentral describes it as "bacterial SSU rRNA". It matches the Rfam family "Bacterial small subunit ribosomal RNA". The record is from RNAcentral. Lineage: Bacteria; Bacillati; Bacillota; Bacilli; Caryophanales; Staphylococcaceae.
CGGCGUGCCUAAUACAUGCAAGUCGAGCGAACAGAUAAGGAGCUUGCUCCUUUGACGUUAGCGGCGGACGGGUGAGUAACACGUGGGUAACCUACCUAUAAGACUGGGAUAACUUCGGGAAACCGGAGCUAAUACCGGAUAACAUUUGGAACCGCAUGGUUCUAAAGUGAAAGAUGGUUUUGCUAUCACUUAUAGAUGGACCCGCGCCGUAUUAGCUAGUUGGUAAGGUAACGGCUUACCAAGGCGACGAUACGUAGCCGACCUGAGAGGGUGAUCGGCCACACUGGAACUGAGACACGGUCCAGACUCCUACGGGAGGCAGCAGUAGGGAAUCUUCCGCAAUGGGCGAAAGCCUGACGGAGCAACGCCGCGUGAGUGAUGAAGGGUUUCGGCUCGUAAAACUCUGUUAUUAGGGAAGAACAAACGUGUAAGUAACUGUGCACGUCUUGACGGUACCUAAUCAGAAAGCCACGGCUAACUACGUGCCAGCAGCCGCGGUAAUACGUAGGUGGCAAGCGUUAUCCGGAAUUAUUGGGCGUAAAGCGCGCGUAGGCGGUUUCUUAAGUCUGAUGUGAAAGCCCACGGCUCAACCGUGGAGGGUCAUUGGAAACUGGGAAACUUGAGUGCAGAAGAGGAAAGUGGAAUUCCAUGUGUAGCGGUGAAAUGCGCAGAGAUAUGGAGGAACACCAGUGGCGAAGGCGACUUUCUGGUCUGUAACUGACGCUGAUGUGCGAAAGCGUGGGGAUCAAACAGGAUUAGAUACCCUGGUAGUCCACGCCGUAAACGAUGAGUGCUAAGUGUUAGGGGGUUUCCGCCCCUUAGUGCUGCAGCUAACGCAUUAAGCACUCCGCCUGGGGAGUACGACCGCAAGGUUGAAACUCAAAGGAAUUGACGGGGACCCGCACAAGCGGUGGAGCAUGUGGUUUAAUUCGAAGCAACGCGAAGAACCUUACCAAAUCUUGACAUCCUUUGAAAACUCUAGAGAUAGAGCCUUCCCCUUCGGGGGACAAAGUGACAGGUGGUGCAUGGUUGUCGUCAGCUCGUGUCGUGAGAUGUUGGGUUAAGUCCCGCAACGAGCGCAACCCUUAAGCUUAGUUGCCAUCAUUAAGUUGGGCACUCUAGGUUGACUGCCGGUGACAAACCGGAGGAAGGUGGGGAUGACGUCAAAUCAUCAUGCCCCUUAUGAUUUGGGCUACACACGUGCUACAAUGGACAAUACAAAGGGCAGCUAAACCGCGAGGUCAUGCAAAUCCCAUAAAGUUGUUCUCAGUUCGGAUUGUAGUCUGCAACUCGACUACAUGAAGCUGGAAUCGCUAGUAAUCGUAGAUCAGCAUGCUACGGUGAAUACGUUCCCGGGUCUUGUACACACCGCCCGUCACACCACGAGAGUUUGUAACACCCGAAGCCGGUGGAGUAACCAUUUAUGGAGCUAGCCGUCGAAGGUGGACAA